Peromyscus maniculatus bairdii (prairie deer mouse) is the source of this 1882-nucleotide non-coding RNA. The record is from RefSeq and is a predicted model, not a curated record. Lineage: Eukaryota; Metazoa; Chordata; Mammalia; Rodentia; Cricetidae.
AGAGUCUGUGGCAGCGGCGGGUGCAACGUGAUUCGCUGGCGGUUACACAACGCCCGAGAGCUGGGCUCGCCGCCGCGGCCAGCCGCUCCCGGGCUGACUUCUAAAGGAACAGAAAACAAACAGGACGUGGUGUUUUCCAAAGUUGCUCUCGGUCAUGGUGUUUGUCACAGCCACAGAAGGUGAACUAGGACUCCAGGUCAGAUCUCUGCCGAGCCCCUCACAAUGAAGAGACUUAACAGAUGGCAAAGCCGGAAACAGAUCAGCGUCUAAGCCCCGGCAGCCACAGUGUCCAGAGGCAUGCUCCAGUCACUCCACGCCUGGCACGUGACACACGGAGCACAUGCUGGUUCUAUUAUCAUUGCGAUGACGAUCGUCCACAUCCCCACACCAGAAGCUUCCGGUGUGAAGCGUAUGCAUAUACUUAGACUGUUUCAAGCCAAGGCUUUCUGGAAAUUUCCAGGCUGCCUCGGACGGCCUUGGAAGGGCUCACCGUGGACAGGCUAUUCCAACUUAAGGAUAAAGCUUCCCCAGGUUUCCGUCUCCUGGGAUUUACGGGGCUAGUGGUGUGUACGGCGGGUGCAAACCCUGCUUGCUGCAUUCAGCUCCACUUGCAGACACACAACUGAGUGUGAAAGGCGGAGCCCAGUGACGUCAGGAAGAAGACAGCAUGGGGGAUGGGCUGGACCAAGCCGUUCUGGACAGAGGGGCUGCAAGGCAAGCCACUCCGAUUCAGGACAGGCGGCCAAAAGUGACCCAGAGUAUACGGCCCUCUAGAUGGAUUUCUCCAGGGUCAGGUCAGGAAUGGCAGGGUGCCCUCAGUCUGACCCAGGAGGAUGUCUGUGGGAGACACCACAGCUCAGGGCCUGCCUGCCUGCCUCUGAAGCUUCAGAUGGGUGCUUAAGUAUUUGUUGAGAACCCAGAAAGAAGUAAGUAAUCGCUCCCCCAAAACAGGAUGUAAAACUCUACAUCGAGGACUUGGCAGAUUUUGGGGUGGGCAGGGUAGGGGGAGUUGCAGUAUUGAGACUGAAAUAGACAAGAGACUGUGAGUGGUCGAGCUGGAGGCCUCGUGGCUGUGAAUAGAUCUACUCAUUCUUGUGGAGAGACUGCUCCAGAGCCUGCUUCAAAACAGCCCUGUCCUUGAGCAAACCAAUCAGUGCCAAUUUGCUGUUGUGUUUUGUUUGAGACAGGGUUUCUCUGUGUAACAGCCCUGGCUGUUCUAGAACUCGCUUUGUAGACCAGGCUGGAUUCGAACUCAGAGAUCCACCUGCCUCUACCUCCCGAGUACUGGGAUUAAAGGCGUGGGCCACCACCACCCAGCAGUGCCAGUUUGCACACACACACACAUACACACACACACACACACACACACACACACACACACGGGUUGAUAGAUCCUGGGCCUUCAAGCUCCCAACAGGAAGCAUGAUUGGGCCCAGAGGCAGCCGUGACAGAAUCUGGAAAUAGAACACCUUCCACAGCUGGCCUGGCCCUGCUCACGACACCGAGGGUGAAGAAUGGCAUUCCUGCUCCGACAUGCACCCCCAGAGCCUUCCAGGCUGCUUGCUUUACAGCGGUCACAGCCAACAUAAACCAAGAAUGCUUGCACCCCUUGUUUGGGGCCCUGGAAACCUACGGAGCUGACGGAGAUGCUCCCAGCAUUGGAAAGAUGAAGAGCUUGAAAAGUCUGAGAUGACCCCAGCCACCGCCUCACACGCGGAAUUUGGGUGCCCCCAGCUUGGCUCAUCCUAAGCUUCAGUAUUCAAGGUUUCUUCCAACUUGAAUUGUUUCCUUAAGCAGGCUGCCCUGCCAGAAAAAAAAAAAAAAAGACAUAUUCUUCCAUUCCACACAGACAUGGAUGCCCCCACUUUGCAGACGGAAGGAA